Long non-coding RNA from Canis lupus familiaris (dog), 889 nucleotides. RefSeq lists it as uncharacterized. The record is from RefSeq and is a predicted model, not a curated record. The transcript has 3 exons. NCBI's taxonomy places the organism in Eukaryota, Metazoa, Chordata, Mammalia, Carnivora, Canidae.
UAGGUUUUCAGAAUAAACUGUUUUUUCAUUUUAUCCAGUCCUUUAUUGCUUCAUUAAACUCCCAAACUCCAAGCAAAACCUGGAGAAGAGACUUCAGUUAAUUGAAUAGAAAUUUAAUUAUGUCAGAAAGUGGCCCUUAAUGUCCUGUGAUGGAGGAACAGAGGAAAAAUCACCAGAGCAGAUAGACAUUUGCUUGAUUAGUGAUGAUGGUUUCUGUUACUUAUAUUUAAAAGUUAAGUAGUAUGUAUUGAAUGUUGUUCAGUUUCAUCAAAUUAUAUUUAUCCAUUUUAUUGCUAUUUUAAAUGCUCAAAUAAUUAAAAGGUAAAUGUUUUCAUAGAAAUAUAAUACUCAAAGGGACCUCAACAAUUUAUUUUCCUUUGUAUUCAAGUAGAUUUUAUCUAAGACACCUCAACUAGAUAUAAUAUGUAAAUAUAUGUAUAUGUAUAUAUUUGUAUAAGUAUAUUUAAAAAACAGUAUAAUAUUUCCAGUUCCAUCCAUGUCAUUGCAGGUGACAAGAUUCCAUUCUUUUUUAUCGCUUUGGCUAUUUUUGAUAAUACUGCUAUAAAGAUCAGGGUACAUAUGCCCCCUUAAAUCAGUAUUUUUAUAUCCUUUGGGUAAAUGCAUAGUAGUGCAGUUGCUGGGUCAUAUGAUAGUUCUAUUUUUAACUUUUUGAGAAAACUCCAUACUGUUUUCCAGAGUGGCUGCACCAGUUUGCAUUCCCAACCAACAGUGUGAGAGGGUUCCCCUUUCCCUGUAUCCUUGCCAAUAUCUCUUGUUUCCAGAGGUGUUAAUUUUAGCCAUUCUGACAGGUGUGAGGUGGUAUCUCAUUGUGGUUUUGAUUUGCAUUUCCCUGAUGAUCAGUGAUAUUGAGCAGUUUUUCAUUUGUCUG